GUGGCGAACGGGUGAGUAACACGUGAGCAAUCUGCCCUUGACUCUGGGAUAACUGCGGGAAACUGUAGCUAAUACCGGAUACUUUCCUCGCUGGGCAUCCAGCGGGGAAGAAAGAAUUUCGGUCAAGGAUGAGCUCGCGGCCUAUCAGCUAGUUGGUGAGGUAAAGGCUCACCAAGGCGACGACGGGUAGCCGGCCUGAGAGGGUGACCGGCCACACUGGAACUGAGACACGGUCCAGACUCCUACGGGAGGCAGCAGUGGGGAAUAUUGCACAAUGGGCGAAAGCCUGAUGCAGCAACGCCGCGUAAGGGAUGAAGGCCUUCGGGUUGUAAACCUCUUUUAGCAGGGAAGAAGCGAAAGUGACGGUACCUGCAGAAAAAGCACCGGCUAACUACGUGCCAGCAGCCGCGGUAAUACGUAGGGUGCAAGCGUUGUCCGGAAUUAUUGGGCGUAAAGAGCUCGUAGGCGGUUUGUCACGUCUGCUGUGAAAAUCCGAGGCUCAACCUCGGACUUGCAGUGGGUACGGGCAGGCUAGAGUGCGGUAGGGGAGAAGGGAAUUCCUGGUGUAGCGGUGGAAUGCGCAGAUAUCAGGAGGAACACCAAUGGCGAAGGCACUUCUCUGGGCCGUAACUGACGCUGAGGAGCGAAAGCGUGGGGAGCGAACAGGAUUAGAUACCCUGGUAGUCCAC
This 689-nucleotide ribosomal RNA is filed under the name uncultured Microbacteriaceae bacterium. Its description in RNAcentral is "bacterial SSU rRNA". It matches the Rfam family "Bacterial small subunit ribosomal RNA", at positions 95 to 798 of the family's 1533-position model. Lineage: Bacteria; Bacillati; Actinomycetota; Actinomycetes; Micrococcales; Microbacteriaceae. The record is from RNAcentral.